This 1311-nucleotide long non-coding RNA is filed under the name Monodelphis domestica (gray short-tailed opossum). RNAcentral's name for it is "lncRNA (ENSMODG00000047261.1)". The record is from RNAcentral. Lineage: Eukaryota; Metazoa; Chordata; Mammalia; Didelphimorphia; Didelphidae.
GACGGGAGUUUGGCUUGGAUGGCCAACUGGACCACACAGAGCUUGGGCUGGCCAGCUCGCCGCCGUUCCCAGGGCCCGAAGAAGGAGCCCAUCCGCACCCUGGAAGCCGGGCCUGAGCAGCUGCCUCUCACGCUCACUGUGGCGGCGCUUAUGGCCUCUAGGAACUGGCUCCCUCCUGGCUGCCCAAGGAGAAGGGCUGUGUAUGGGUGUGAGAGAGAGACAGGCAGAGACAAGUCAGAGAGAAAGAGGGAGACAGAGAGAGAGAGAGAGAGAGAGAGAGAGAGAGAGAGAGAGAGAGAGAGAGAGAGAGAGAGAGAGAGAGAGAGACAGGAAGAGACAAGUCAGAGAGAAAGGGGGAGACAGAGACAGAGAGAUAGAGAGGGAGAGAGACAGAGGGAGAGAGAGAGAGACAGGAAGAGACAAGUCAGAGAGAAAGAGGGAGACAGAGACAGAGAGAGAUAGAGAGGGAGAGAGACAGAGGGAGAGAGAGAGAGACAGGAAGAGACAAGUCAGAGAGAAAGAGGGAGACAGAGACAGAGAGGGAGAGAGACAGAGGGAGAGAGAGAGAGAGAGACAGGAAGAGACAAGUCAGAGAGAAAGAGGGAGACAGAGACAGAGAGAGAUAGAGAGGGAGAGAGACAGAGGGAGAGAGAGAGAGACAGGAAGAGACAAGUCAGAGAGAAAGAGGGAGACAGAGACAGAGAGGGAGAGAGACAGAGGGAGAGAGAGAGAGAGAGACAGGAAGAGGCAAGUCAGAGAGAAAAAGGGAGACAGAGAUAGAGACAGAGAUGGAGAGAGACAGAGGGAGACAGAGACAGGAAGAGACAAGUCAGAGAGAAAGAGGGAGACAGAGACAGAGAGAGAGAGAGAGGGAGAGAGACAGAGGGAGAGAGAGACAGGAAGAGACAAGUCAGAGAGAAAGAAGGAAACAGAGACAGAGACAGAGACAGACAGAGAUGGAGAGAGAGACACAGAGACAGGAAGAGACAAGUCAGACAGAGGGAGACAGAUAGAGACAGAGGGAGACAGAAACAGAGAGAGACAAGUCAGAGAGAAAGAGGGAGACAGACACAGAGACAGAGGGAAAGACAGACAGAGAUGGAGAGAGAGACAGAGACAGAGGCAGGAAGAGACAAGUCAGAGAGAAAGAGGGAGACAAAGACAGAUAGAGGGAGAGACAGAGAUGGAGAGAGAGAUGGAAGGAAACAGAGACAAAGAGAGAUAGAGACAAAGAGACAGAGAGCAGAGAGAGAGGGAAGAAAAGAGGCAGGAAGAAGAUGGUAGGCUGAACCAAGCAAAUACAUAAGUAAG